UAUGCCUUGUAAAACUUCGAACCCAGAAGAUCCCAAUUAUCUGCCAUAUCUUAGCUACUGCUGGUCUCAUGAUACUUGCUACGAAAAGCAUAAUGUUGGUACCACUAUAUAUCAAAAUCACCCACAGUAACUGGGAAACAUCCAUAAUGUCUGGACAUUUUGCUUUCUUUUCAUGUGUGGGCAUAUUUACUCCUUGAUUUUCACAUGCUUGUUUCAAAUAUUCCCCACAUUUCUUUUUACUUAAUACACGUCAGGGUCCCUUAACUUGCCUGAUAUUUCACAGGGAAAUUGCUGUCUCUAUUCCUUCCCCUCAGUUGAGAACCAUUGAGAAAAGGUCAUCUACAUGAUGUGUCUCUGAGGCCUCACCUCCUGCUACCUCUGCAGACCACCCCACACUCCAUCUGUCCUCACCAUUCUAUGGCUGCUCGCCUGAGAAUGUUUAACUGAAAAAAAUUCAACUUACAAGUGAAGAUUGUGCUGUAAAUGGAAAGUACAAACUGGAUUUGGGGAACCCAGUAAAAAAUGUACAGACCUGAAAAUGAGGCCCAGAGCAGCAGUGCCUCCCAAGAUCACACAUCUGGAACCCAGGGAAGUUUUAGGUGGUAUUCCAAGUUACAUCUUACUCCUUCUUGUAAUUCUUCCAUCUCUAAGUCUGUGUAUCAGACACAUGUGACAUCAGCCCACAGGUGUUAUAGGCAUUAUGACAUAUGAACCUGAAAAUGUCCCUAGGAAGCUAUUUUUAGCACCAUCUCCAAUGUGCAGGUUGGGAAACUGGGGAGAUCUUAAGAGGCACAGUGGCUUUUGC
This 805-nucleotide long non-coding RNA is filed under the name Equus asinus (donkey). Its description in RNAcentral is "lncRNA (ENSEASG00005033615.1)". Lineage: Eukaryota; Metazoa; Chordata; Mammalia; Perissodactyla; Equidae. The record is from RNAcentral.